This is a non-coding RNA of Cinara cedri, 251 nucleotides long. NCBI's taxonomy places the organism in Eukaryota, Metazoa, Arthropoda, Insecta, Hemiptera, Aphididae. The record is from the annotation of a GenBank genome assembly.
CGCAGCAUACCGGUUCGACAAGAAUGACGUGAUCCAUCGUGAUCUCAAGUUAUUCAUCCAUCCGGGUCGAAAUCAAGAAAUUUGCUAACAAACAUGUGAAUAGAGUAGAGUUGCACACCAACGCAGCUGAUAAACAACUGCUUGAUAACUCACAAGACAUCGGACGUCUCAAACCUUGAAACCCUACGACUAAGUUUUAGUAAUUUAAGCUAAGGGAAAUGGCGAUUCGAUCUCAUUGGAGAAACAACCCC